This 92-nucleotide transfer RNA is filed under the name Pseudomonas fluorescens. RNAcentral's name for it is "tRNA-Thr". Lineage: Bacteria; Pseudomonadati; Pseudomonadota; Gammaproteobacteria; Pseudomonadales; Pseudomonadaceae. The record is from RNAcentral.
GCUGGCAUUGCAAUGCGACCUGCGCAUUGCCAGUGCCAGUGCGACGUUCGGUCUGCCGGAAGCCGCCGUCGGAUCGAUUCCGGCGGUCAGCG